GACGAACGCUGGCGGCGUGCUUAACACAUGCAAGUCGAACGGUAAGGCCCUGCUUUUGUGGUGUGCUCGAGUGGCGAACGGGCGAGUAACACGUGAGUAACCUGCCCUUGACUUUGGGAUAACUUCAGGAAACUGGGGCUAAUACCGGAUAGGAGCUGCUGCUGCAUGGUGUGGGUUGGAAAGUUUCGGCGGUUGGGGUAGGACUCGCGGCUUCUCAGCUUGUUGGUGGUGUAGUGGUGUCCACAGGCUUGGGCGGGUAGCCGGACUGAGAGUGUGACCGGGCACAGAGGGACUGAGAAGGCGGCAGGAGUCAUACGGGAGGAAGAGGUGGAGGAUAGUGCGAGAUGGGCGGAAGCAGGGUGGAGGGACGCCGCAUGCGAGAUGACGGCCUUCGGGGUGGAAACAGCUUGAGAGUGGGAAGAAGAGUGAGUGACGGUAAUGGGUAAAGAAGCACCGGCUAACUACGUG
Molecule: ribosomal RNA, 468 nt
Filed under: uncultured bacterium
Lineage: Bacteria
Description: partial 16S ribosomal RNA
Rfam family: Bacterial small subunit ribosomal RNA
Source: RNAcentral